This 72-nucleotide transfer RNA is filed under the name Notoraja tobitukai (Leadhued skate). RNAcentral's name for it is "tRNA-Gln". It matches the Rfam family "tRNA". From Rfam's summary of the family: Transfer RNA (tRNA) molecules are approximately 80 nucleotides in length. Their secondary structure includes four short double-helical elements and three loops (D, anti-codon, and T loops). Further hydrogen bonds mediate the characteristic L-shaped molecular structure. tRNAs have two regions of fundamental functional importance: the anti-codon, which is responsible for specific mRNA codon recognition, and the 3' end, to which the tRNAs corresponding amino acid is attached (by aminoacyl-tRNA synthetases). tRNAs cope with the degeneracy of the genetic code in two manners: having more than one tRNA (with a specific anti-codon) for a particular amino acid; and 'wobble' base-pairing, i.e. permitting non-standard base-pairing at the 3rd anti-codon position. The record is from RNAcentral. Lineage: Eukaryota; Metazoa; Chordata; Chondrichthyes; Rajiformes; Arhynchobatidae.
UAGGAAAUAGUAUAGUUGGAAAUACAUAGGGUUUUGAUCUCUAUGAGAUAGGUUCGAGUCCUAUUUUUCUAA